Molecule: long non-coding RNA, 1589 nt
Organism: Spinacia oleracea (spinach)
Lineage: Eukaryota; Viridiplantae; Streptophyta; Magnoliopsida; Caryophyllales; Amaranthaceae
Exons: 5
Source: RefSeq, a predicted model, not a curated record
AAUACCUUAGGGCUUGCAACAACCCGCAAACCAAAACUAACAAAAACCACAAAAAUAACAUGUCUUAGUGAAGGAAAUGUGUCCUUCACCCAAGGUGCAUUAGUCUAAUACCAAGGUUCAGAUUAAUUACGAACAAUCACUACUACAAAACACAUCAUUUCUCGACCCUAGGGCCUCGACGCUGAGGGAGUACUGUCAGUAACAAAUUAUGAGUUGCGUGUUUUGUCGACGAUUUUAUGCGCCUUCUUAUAUCCCGUCUACUAUAAGCGUCGAGAUAUAACUAAAUAGACACAUGCCCAACACGUGGUCAUAUUUAGAAGCCCGCCUGUUUUUUUUUGCGUGAGAACUGAAAACCGUCCCCACUCACAGUCCUCGUUCAUCUCAACCCUAAACUAAUACCUUCUCUCCUCUUUUUCUAUCACUUUGAAAGUUCCAGAUGUAAGUCCUUACAAUCAAUUUUCCUCUUUCUUUUCAUCUCCUUGGUUCCUCUUUCUUUUCAUCUCCUUGAGAUUUUUUUAAUUUAGUUUGUCACUAUUAUUAUUAUCAUGAUUCAUAUACGAGAAGAUCUAUUUGAUGGUUUACAUAGUUCAACAAGCUUUCGAAGAUUCCCUAUUCUCCCAUGACCGAGCGGUCUAUUCCAGUCUUAGAUCAUGGUCUCAUGGUGGCCAGAUUUGCUGCAUAUAUUGUCAUACAUGCACUACUACAAAAGCUUUGUUUUAUGGACGCAUGGAGCUAAACGCUUGGGUAUGAGCGUUGGUGGAAAAAAAAAUUAGUCACGACGCUCUUUGUCGUCCAUGGGUUUUUAGACAGUUAUAGGCGUCGAGAAUGCACGGGCAAUACACAUGAUGUUUUUUCUAAUUAGCUAUUGUUUCCCGCAACUUCUCCUUUUCGGGGAAAAGAAAAACCGCCUCAAUAAAUUCUCAUCACCGCCUCUCAUCUCGUGCUAAAGAAUCUCAGAUCUACUCUUCUCUCAUUGGAAAGCUCUUACAGCAAGUGAUGUUCUUGGGGCAAAAAUCCUUCAGGUCUAUCACACGAUCCUACUACUGAGGGGUUGCUGGCGCGCUUCACAUCACUAGGAGGGAGAUUUUUAAUCACCUUGCAAGUUGGCUGGAGGAUGCAAGGCAACACGCUAAUGCUAACAUGACAAUCAUGCUUAUAGGUACAAUUGUGAUCGUGGAAGGUGAAUAGUUUCCCAAGGGACAUGGAUUGAUAUUUAUGAGUGUUCUGCAAAAACUGCUCAAAAUGUUCAAAAGGGUGAAGUUAUGAGAUUUGUGUUAAAGAUGAAUGACCGUGUGAUUCAAGUCUCGUGUAUCCUGGCUUCAUAUGGCUCCAUAAUACAGAGAAGUUCUGGUAUUGAGAUUAUUCAAGUAGGUCCAAAUCCGCAAACAAUGAGAAACUGCAUCAAUUCUUGAAGAAGAGAGAAGCUUUAAUUAAUUUAAAUUUCUCAAUGCUUCUAAUGUAAACAAUUUUGGAGGAAGUAUGCCUUGAUAGUAUACAGUAUUAUAAUAGUAUUGUAACUGUUUUUUGUUGUCCUUGUAAGACUCAAUCAAACCUUAUUUUGUAUUUUAUAUCAUUAAUAAUGAAUAGAA